Molecule: ribosomal RNA, 468 nt
Filed under: uncultured bacterium
Lineage: Bacteria
Description: partial 16S ribosomal RNA
Rfam family: Bacterial small subunit ribosomal RNA
Source: RNAcentral
GACGAACGCUGGCGGCGUGCUUAACACAUGCAAGUCGAACGGAAAGGCCCUGCUUUUGUGGGGUGCUCGAGUGGCGAACGGGUGAGUAACACGUGAGUAACCUGCCCUUGACUUUAGGAUAACUUCAGGAAACUGGGGCUAAUACCGGAUAGGAGCUCCUGCUGCAUGGUGGGGGUUGGAAAGUUUCGGCGGUUGGGGAUGGGCUCGCGGCUUAUCAGCUUGUUGGUGGGGUAGUGGCUUACCAAGGCUUUGACGGGUAGCCGGCCUGAGAGGGUGACCGGCCACAUUGGGACUGAGAUACGGCCCAGACUCCUACGGGAGGCAGCAGUGGGGAAUAUUGCACAAUGGGCGGAAGCCUGAUGCAGCAACGCCGCGUGCGGGAUGACGGCCUUCGGGUUGUAAACCGCUUUCGCCUGUGACGAAGCGUGAGUGACGGUAAUGGGUAAAGAAGCACCGGCUAACUACGUG